Molecule: long non-coding RNA, 2225 nt
Organism: Peromyscus californicus insignis
Lineage: Eukaryota; Metazoa; Chordata; Mammalia; Rodentia; Cricetidae
Exons: 3
Source: RefSeq, a predicted model, not a curated record
AGAGCUGAGUGGCUCUCCUCUCUCAGAGCAAUUACUACAAAUGAUUUAUGUGGCCAGUCAAGAGGGCCUGCCAGCGCUCUUAUUUCAUCUCCAGAAAAAGGAACUCUGCUGGAAUGUUAUCAGGGAGCUUGGGAUUCAACUGACAGCUGCCUUUUGUUUUCCCGUGAAGGCGCUUCUCCUCUGGACUGUGGCGCCCCUGCUCUUUCCGCACAGACAGCCAGAAUUCUAGACUGCAGAGCCCGGCUAGGGAAGAGCCACAGGAAGGGAACCACUGUCCAUGAGGAGGAGAGGUCUCCUUCUCCCCUUCGUAUUUAUCUCCAGAGGACAUGUACUGCAGUCCCAUUUCAGACGCGGCCGGUUCUGCCGGCUGGAAGACUGGUUCCUUACUGCUCUGUGCACACGCGAGCAGGGCACCACAUCCUGACCCCGUUACCAAGCUCAUCUUUGCUGUGCCAGGGGAACAAAGGCUCCUUGCAAUAUAGAAUUGUGAUGGUGUUUGAGGCAGGAUUCCCAGCCUCCUUUGCAGCUGGUGAUCUAACGGAGUUCCGGCUGAAAAGAUGCCUGCAGAAGUUGGGAACUCAUGAUUGGCCCGCUUCUUCUCCUGUGGCUUUCUAACUUCUCUAGUCUACAGAACAGAUAAGGUCGGUCGUGAAAAUAUAUGGGUGAAGUAACAACCACGAUGCUAAAGGCUAUCAGUUCUGCUCUUCUAGAGAAUGCCGAAUAACCCAGGUCCUAUCCCCCAAGACUUCUCCUCACUGUACACACUCCAAGAUCUGAAACACGUCUAGUUGCCAGCAUUUCAGAUGAGAGAUACUCAAACCUAUAUUUGUCCUCCAUCCUGGAAACAUCUGUGGUUUACAUUGUGAAGAAAGAGAGAACUUUGGCACAGGGGGAAGUGGGUGUUUGCCUUGGAAGUGUCAAUCAAGCGGAAAUCUGCAACUCGGUGGUGAGAUGGUCUCAUCCUAUGCCCAAUCAUCCUCCCACCUGGCGGCGGCACACUGGCAGACGGCCUCACUGCUUCUAGACUGGAGUCUGGUAUCUCCUUUGGGAAAUUAGCCCGACUAUGAGAAUGACAAAUAGAGCCCGUAUUCCCCAAGGCUUCGAGGCUAAGGAUCGCAACUUGAGAGUUCUUAUAUAUAAACGCCAGCCUCCUAGUUAGGGCAUUAAUCUCUUACGAAUGUAGAGGCAAGGAUCACCACACAUUUGAGAAAAACGUCGAACAGAAAAAGCCAGCAUCCAAUUAACAGAUGGAAAAGAGGAGAUAAAGGCAAUGAAACAAUAAUUUUUAAGUUAUUAACAUAGUCUCAAAUAAGCAAAAUAAGCACCAGGAUUGUGUAUGUGUGAGGUGUACACAUGGGUGGUCAAUAUUGAUGUCUUCAUUUUUCACCAUGUUUUUAAAAUUUUUCAAAAUUUAUUUUAUGGUAUGUGUGUGUGUGUGUGUGUAUGUGUGUGUGUGUGUGUGUGUGUGUGUGUACCAUAGAGCUCAUGUGGCCUCCUAGUCCUAUAGGGGAGCAUUUUUGCAGUUCCUAGUCCCCAGAAUCCACUGGCUCUGCACCUCUGGUGACUCACUUCACUCCAUAUUGCAUCUGUCUAGAGGUGUGUGUGUGUGUGUGCUGUGAUGUGUAUUGUAUAUAUGUGGUGUGUAUGUGUGGUAUAUUUAUGUGUGGUGUGUAUGUGAGAGAGGUAUGUGUGGUAUGUGUGUAUAUGUUUGAGGUAUGGUAUAUGUGUGUGUGUGUGAGAGAGAGAAGUGUGUAUGGUAUAUAUACGUGUAUGUUUGUGGUAUGGUAUGUGCAUAUGUGGUGUAUGUGUGGUAUGUGGUACGUGUGUGUAUGGUAUAACAGUGUGUCUGUGUGUAUAUGGUAUAGUAGUGCAUGCAUGUAUGUGUGUGUGUGUGUGUGUGUGUGUGUGUGUGUGUGUGUGUAUGUGUGUGUGUGUGGUGUGAACCACGCUACUCUUGUGAAGGCUAGGGGACAACUUUUAGGAGUUGGUUCUCACCUUUUGUUACCUUGCCGCCUACCACCUUGUCUUGGGAGUACUGGCCUCCAGUUGUGCUGCAGCAUCUGGCUUGUUAUAUGGGGCCAGGGCUUCAGUCUGGAUCAGCAGGCUUGUGUGGACAGUGCUUUUACCUGCCGAGUCACCUCUCUUGCCGUCUACCCUAGAUUUGGAAACAGGGGCUCUCAUUGAACUUGGAGGUUGCUGAUUUGGCUAGACUGGCUGGGCAAGCC